GGGGUUGUGGCUCAGUGGUAGAGCACUUGCCUACCAUGCAGAAAGCACUGGAUUCAAUCCACAGCACCA
Molecule: transfer RNA, 69 nt
Filed under: Ictidomys tridecemlineatus (thirteen-lined ground squirrel)
Lineage: Eukaryota; Metazoa; Chordata; Mammalia; Rodentia; Sciuridae
Also listed under: 1 other name
Description: Spermophilus tridecemlineatus (thirteen-lined ground squirrel) tRNA
Rfam family: tRNA
About the family: Transfer RNA (tRNA) molecules are approximately 80 nucleotides in length. Their secondary structure includes four short double-helical elements and three loops (D, anti-codon, and T loops).
Source: Rfam by way of RNAcentral